Molecule: ribosomal RNA, 408 nt
Filed under: uncultured bacterium
Lineage: Bacteria
Description: partial 16S ribosomal RNA
Rfam family: Bacterial small subunit ribosomal RNA
Source: RNAcentral
GACGAACGCUGGCGGCGUGCUUAACACAUGCAAGUCGAACGAAGUGGCGAACGGGUGAGUAACGCGUAAUCAACCUGCCCUUCAGAGGGGGACAACAGUUGGAAACGACUGCUAAUACCUCAUACUGAAGGUGGGGAUUGCGUCUGAUUAGCUAGUUGGAGGGGUAACGGCCCACCAAGGCGAUGAUCAGUAGCCAGUCGGAGAGGGGGAACGGGCACAAUGGGACUGAGACACGGGCCAGACUCCUACGGGGGGCAGCAGUGAGGGAUCUUCCGAAAUGGGGGAAAGUCGUACGGAGCAACGCCGCGUAGAGGAUGACGGGCUUCGGGUUGUAAAGCUCUGUUAAUCGGGACACGGUACCGGAAUAGAAAGCCACGGCUAACUACGUGCCAGCAGCCGCGGUAAUAC